RNAcentral lists this ribosomal RNA (515 nucleotides) under uncultured archaeon. Its description in RNAcentral is "bacterial SSU rRNA". It matches the Rfam family "Archaeal small subunit ribosomal RNA", at positions 345 to 859 of the family's 1478-position model. The record is from RNAcentral.
AACCUUUACACUGCACGACAGUGCGAUAGGGGGACACCGAGUGCGAGGGCAUAGAGCCCUCGCUUUUGUAGACCGUAAGGAGGUCUACGAAUAAGGGCUGGGCAAGACCGGUGCCAGCCGCCGCGGUAACACCGGCAGCCCGAGUGAUGGCCGAUAUUAUUGGGCCUAAAGCGUCCGUAGCCGGCCGGACAAGUCCGUUGGGAAAUCGACGCGCUCAACGCGUCGGCGUCCAGCGGAAACUGUCCGGCUUGGGGCCGGAAGACCUGAGGGGUACGUCCGGGGUAGGAGUGAAAUCCUGUAAUCCUGGACGGACCACCAAUGGGGAAACCACCUCAGGAAGACGGACCCGACGGUGAGGGACGAAAGCUAGGGUCUCGAACCGGAUUAGAUACCCGGGUAGUCCUAGCUGUAAACGAUGCUCGCUAGGUGUGCCGUAGGCUACGAGCCUGCGCUGCGCCCUAGGGAAGCCGAGAAGCGAGCCGCCUGGGAAGUACGUCCGCAAGGAUGAAACUUAA